GACCGAUAGUGAACCAGUACCGUGAGGGAAAGUGAAAAGUACUUCGAAUAGAAGGUGAAAUAGAUCCUGAAACCAUACGCUUACAAGCUGUCGUAGCCCUCUUAAUUGAGUAGGGUGACGACGUGCCUUUUGCAUAAUGAACCUACGAGUUAAUUUUUCCGGCAAGGUUAAGUAGUUCAGCUAUGGAGCCGUAGCGAAAGCGAGUCUGAAUAGGGCAUUUAGUCGGAAGAAUUAGACGCGAAACCGAGUGAUCUACCCAUGAGCAGGUUGAAACUGUGGUAACACAUAGUGGAGGACCGAACCGGUUGACGUUGAAAAGUCUUCGGAUGACUUGUGGGUAGGGGUGAAAGGCUAAUCAAACUCGGAGAUAGCUCGUACUCCCCGAAAUGCAUUUAGGUGCAGCAUCGUGUUAAAUAUAACAGAGGUAGAGCUACUGAUUGGAUGAAGGGGUUUCAUCACCUGCUAAUUCCUGAUAAACUCCGAAUGCUGUUAUUAUGUUUCACGGUAGUGAGGGCAUGGGUGCUAAGAUCCAUGUCCAAGAGGGAAACAACCCAGACCAUCAGUUAANGCCCCUAAGUAUAUAUUAAGUUGUAUAAACAAAGUUUAAUUACACAGACAGCUAGGAUGUUGGCUUAGAAGCAG
Molecule: ribosomal RNA, 642 nt
Filed under: Blattabacterium punctulatus
Lineage: Bacteria; Pseudomonadati; Bacteroidota; Flavobacteriia; Flavobacteriales; Blattabacteriaceae
Description: bacterial LSU rRNA
Rfam family: Bacterial large subunit ribosomal RNA
Source: RNAcentral